This 433-nucleotide ribosomal RNA is filed under the name uncultured bacterium. Its description in RNAcentral is "bacterial SSU rRNA". It matches the Rfam family "Bacterial small subunit ribosomal RNA", at positions 368 to 793 of the family's 1533-position model. The record is from RNAcentral.
ACAAUGGGCGCAAGCCUGAUGCAGCCAUGCCGCGUGUAUGAAGAAGGCCUUCGGGUUGUAAAGUACUUUCAGCAGUGAGGAAGGUGGGUAUGUUAAUAGCAUAUUCAUUUGACGUUAGCUGCAGAAGAAGCACCGGCUAACUCCGUGCCAGCAGCCGCGGUAAUACGGAGGGUGCGAGCGUUAAUCGGAAUUACUGGGCGUAAAGCGCAUGCAGGUGGUUUGUUAAGUCAGAUGUGAAAGCCCGGGGCUCAACCUCGGAAUUGCAUUUGAAACUGGCAAACUAGAGUACUGUAGAGGGGGUAGAAGUUUCAGGUGUAGCGGUGAAAUGCGUAGAGAUCUGAAGGAAUACCGGUGGCGAAGGCGGCCCCCUGGACAGAUACUGACACUCAGAUGCGAAAGCGUGGGGAGCAAACAGGAUUAGAUACCCUGGUAG